This 492-nucleotide ribosomal RNA is filed under the name uncultured bacterium. Its description in RNAcentral is "partial 16S ribosomal RNA". It matches the Rfam family "Bacterial small subunit ribosomal RNA", at positions 29 to 507 of the family's 1533-position model. The record is from RNAcentral.
AGUGAACGCUGGCGGUAGGCCUAACACAUGCAAGUCGAACGGCAGCACAGUAAGAGCUUGCUCUUACGGGUGGCGAGUGGCGGACGGGUGAGGAAUACAUCGGAAUCUACUUUUUCGUGGGGGAUAACGUAGGGAAACUUACGCUAAUACCGCAUACGACCUGCGGGUGAAAGCAGGGGAUCUUCGGACCUUGCGCGAUUGAAUGAGCCGAUGUCGGAUUAGCUAGUUGGCGGGGUAAAGGCCCACCAAGGCGACGAUCCGUAGCUGGUCUGAGAGGAUGAUCAGCCACACUGGAACUGAGACACGGUCCAGACUCCUACGGGAGGCAGCAGUGGGGAAUAUUGGACAAUGGGCGCAAGCCUGAUCCAGCCAUACCGCGUGGGUGAAGAAGGCCUUCGGGUUGUAAAGCCCUUUUGUUGGGAAAGAAAAGCAGCAGGUUAAUACCCCGCUGUUCUGACGGUACCCAAAGAAUAAGCACCGGCUAACUCCGUG